Molecule: unclassified non-coding RNA, 301 nt
Filed under: Melitaea cinxia (Glanville fritillary)
Lineage: Eukaryota; Metazoa; Arthropoda; Insecta; Lepidoptera; Nymphalidae
Description: misc RNA ENSMCXG00005005415.1
Source: RNAcentral
GGAUUCUAUUACUCCGUAGACCGUAUCAAGACGGAUUUACGUAGACUAAAACGCGCAAGUAGUAAAACGGACGUAACAAAUUCCUUCCAUAGUUGUAAUUUCGUAACACGAAAUAAAAACGGAGAUUUGAACGAAACAUUUCGCCCGGCCUUAGCUGAUACUAAAGAAAAUUAAACGAGAUAAAAUGCUAUUACUCCUUCUCUCCAUGUUUUGCGUUUUGGAGCACAGUGUCGAAACAGACGAGAUUUCGUGUAAUGGUCUUCUGUUUGAUCAUGUUUAUUACGACAGAGAAUUAUUACUG